RNAcentral lists this ribosomal RNA (702 nucleotides) under Candidatus Rokuibacteriota bacterium. RNAcentral's name for it is "Candidatus Rokubacteria bacterium partial 23S ribosomal RNA". It matches the Rfam family "Bacterial large subunit ribosomal RNA", at positions 2227 to 2925 of the family's 2925-position model. The record is from RNAcentral. Lineage: Bacteria; Candidatus Rokuibacteriota.
CUAGGCCCGUGAUCCGGGCCGGGGACAGUGCCAGGUGGGCAGUUUGACUGGGGCGGUCGCCUCCUAAAAUGUAACGGAGGCGCUCGAAGGUGGGCUCAGCACGGUUGGAAAUCGUGCGUCGAGUGUAAGAGCAGAAGCCCGCUUGACUGUGAGACCAACAAGUCGAACAGGUACGAAAGUAGGAUCUAGUGAUCCGGUGGUUCCGAGUGGAAGGGCCAUCGCUCAACGGAUAAAAGGUACUCCGGGGAUAACAGGCUGAUCUUGCCCAAGAGUUCAUAUCGACGGCAAGGUUUGGCACCUCGAUGUCGGCUCAUCGCAUCCUGGGGCUGGAGCAGGUCCCAAGGGUUGGGCUGUUCGCCCAUUAAAGCGGUACGUGAGCUGGGUUUAGAACGUCGUGAGACAGUUCGGUCCCUAUCUGUCGCGGGCGGAGGAGAUUUGACGGGAGCUGCCCCUAGUACGAGAGGACCGGGGUGGACGGACCUCUGGUGUGCGAGCUGUCCUGCCAAGGGCACCGCUCGGUAGCUAUGUCCGGCAGGGAUAAGCGCUGAAGGCAUCUAAGCGCGAAACCCGCCUGAAGAUGAGAUCUCCCGGGGCGUAAGCCCCCUGAAGGGCCCUGGUAGAUGACCAGGUUGAUAGGCCGGAGGUGUAAGCACCGUAAGGUGUUCAGCUGACCGGUACUAAUCGCCCGUGCGGCUUGACCAC